AGAUCGAACUAUAGAGUUUGAUCCUGGCUCAGAUUGAACGCUGGCGGAAUGCUUUACACAUGCAAGUCGAACGGCAGCACGGGGGCAACCCUGG
This 94-nucleotide ribosomal RNA is filed under the name Betaproteobacteria bacterium. RNAcentral describes it as "partial 16S ribosomal RNA". It matches the Rfam family "Bacterial small subunit ribosomal RNA", at positions 1 to 88 of the family's 1533-position model. Lineage: Bacteria; Pseudomonadati; Pseudomonadota; Betaproteobacteria. The record is from RNAcentral.